AGUGAACGCUGGCGGUAGGCCUAACACAUGCAAGUCGAACGGCAGCACAGUAAGAGCUUGCUCUUACGGGUGGCGAGUGGCGGACGGGUGAGGAAUACAUCGGAAUCUACUUUUUCGUGGGGGAUAACGUAGGGAAACUUACGCUAAUACCGCAUACGACCUACGGGUGAAAGCAGGGGAUCUUCGGACCUUGCGCGAUUGAAUGAGCCGAUGUCGGAUUAGCUAGUUGGCGGGGUAAAGGCCCACCAAGGCGACGAUCCGUAGCUGGUCUGAGAGGAUGAUCAGCCACACGGGAACUGACACACGGUCAAGACUCCUACGGGAGGCAGCAGUGGGGAAUAUUGGACAAUGGGCGCAAGCCUGAUCCAGCCAUACCGCGUGGGUGAAGAAGGCCUUCGGGUUGUAAAGCCCUUUUGUUGGGAAAGAAAAGCAGCAGGUUAAUACCCCGCUGUUCUGACGGUACCCAAAGAAUAAGCACCGGCUAACUUCGUG
This 492-nucleotide ribosomal RNA is filed under the name uncultured bacterium. RNAcentral describes it as "partial 16S ribosomal RNA". It matches the Rfam family "Bacterial small subunit ribosomal RNA", at positions 29 to 507 of the family's 1533-position model. The record is from RNAcentral.